CAGGCGAAGAACAAAUGAAGCACCCGAGCCGGGCGGGCAGUGCUCGUCCAGAGGUACUUACGCAAAUCGUUAGCGCGUUAAUGACUGCGCCAGCAGCCGCUGCAGGUGGCCGGGCAGCAAUAAGGAAGACCCCGGGCGCGCGGAGGACGUUCAUUUAGUGCCGGAUUAAAUAAAAGAGUAAUAGGCAACAUCCGCGGGCAGCGGGACGAGUCGUGCCUCGCUCACCUCCGUGCUGGCCGGGCUGCGGCUGCAAGAGGGGAUUUCUGCCACCCAGCACCAUCCAGCCCCUCGCGGGGCCGGGGGUGGCCCCCAAGUGACAGUGGAGCUGAGGUCUCGCUGCUGGCACCAGCACUUAGCGGCCCACAAGUACACAAGCUCCCAGCGAUCUGGAAACGCGGAGGGCUGCACGUGUCCCCUGCAAGGCGAAGCCUCGUCCCCCCACCACCGAGGUCCCCGGCAGGGCAGGCUGUCGGCGAGGGGUGGCUCCGGUGACAGCGGUGACCUCGGCGCUGGGUGGCCCGUGGCAGGGCGCAGGAGCGAGCUGGGGUCACUCGAGAGGAUGCUCGGGAUGAGUGGUAAGAGGGGGGGAGUGGUCCUGAUGGGUGCAUCUCUGCACAGCAUGUCCUGUGUCCCAUGUCCCCUGUCCCCAUGUCCCAUGUUCCAAGUCCUCAGCAGCUGCAUUCCCUCCUGCGGUGGGUGCAAGAGGUCCCUGGAGCAGGGGAGGGGGCAGCAAGGUGGAGAAAGCCCCCCCGGGUAUGACUGAGUCCUGGGGGGACAGGCUUGGGGUCCCGGCUUGGUGGGCAGGGGUGGCUUGGGAGCAUAUCUGGCAGGGAAAAAUGUGAUGAAAGGGAUAAGUGGGACCCGAACGGACACGACAGCCUUAGCGCUGCCACGCCAGCCAGACAGCCCCGGCAGCUGACAACUCGUUUCUAGACAAAGGCAGCACGGGAGAUGUAAUCUGCCCCAGCCUCGACAAAGCCCUGUCUGACAGGGGAGGACAGGAGCAAAGCCACGGGG
This 1017-nucleotide long non-coding RNA is filed under the name Anser cygnoides (Swan goose). RNAcentral's name for it is "lncRNA (ENSACDG00005017242.1)". Lineage: Eukaryota; Metazoa; Chordata; Aves; Anseriformes; Anatidae. The record is from RNAcentral.